RNAcentral lists this non-coding RNA (31 nucleotides) under Rattus norvegicus (Norway rat). The record is from RNAcentral. Lineage: Eukaryota; Metazoa; Chordata; Mammalia; Rodentia; Muridae.
UAAACCAAGCUUCUUGCGUGUAUUUCUAACA